Pollicipes pollicipes is the source of this 1303-nucleotide long non-coding RNA. RefSeq lists it as uncharacterized. NCBI's taxonomy places the organism in Eukaryota, Metazoa, Arthropoda, Thecostraca, Pollicipedomorpha, Pollicipedidae. The record is from RefSeq and is a predicted model, not a curated record. The transcript is spliced from 2 exons.
CCUGCAGCUGCCGGCGGCCGGCGGCGCCGAGGAGCCGCCCCGCCGGCCCGGCACGCCCGGCGGCCGCCGCCGCGUCGACGACCACGCCGUCCAGAAGAGCAAGCAGGACAUGCAGAACUGCUUCGGCUUCGAUGACGAGGAGGACGAGGUGGACUUCAUGGCGACCGGCAAGAAGGAGGCCGUCGAUAUGAUGUAGGCGACCCGUCACCUCUCUGACUGGACGGUCUCGAGCGGACAGUGACUAUGGAGGCGCCACCGCUCCGCCAGCGGGGUGGGCGCCGUCGGACCGCGGUGCGCGUGCGCGCGUCGGCUCGUGAGCGGGAUGUCCAUCGCCCACCGAAGCCUCUCGCCUGACUUGCGGGUGGCGGCGCCGGCGCCUGAUCACGACCGCCGCGGCUCUGACGGCCCCGCUCGGCCAUCGGUGGCGGUCGCUGCCCGCCGCUACACUGCAGCAUGACGGGGCGGAAGCGGUGUGGUGGAGCCUGCCGCAGCCAGGCGGUGGCGUACGGCUCGGGCCGGUCGCGCAGUAUUCGUGUGUGGCUGUUCAAUGCCCGGAUGCGGCAAUAUCGCAUCGAGCCGAGCGUGUGUCGUGCUUGUCCGGGUGCACGCUUGAUCUGUCCUUGGGCGACGCCGUGUGGGCCGUUCCGUACCGAGACGCUCGUAACGCACACCGGACUGGACGCCCGGCCGCACAUCAGCAGGCUGAGCGACGACGGCGUUUGGUGGCCGUGACCCGAUGCACGUCGAUGACCUAUGUAACUUAUAUUUAGGUGAUGCCGAGAGUUGGAAUGCUGCCGCAGCACCAGGGUAUGCAGGAGCCGCCGUGGUCGCUGGUUUUGUACGGAGGGUUUGUCGGUGGUUGGCGGGUCCGUGACGCGGCGCGAGCGUCAGCGACUGGCGCUCGCGGGGCCCGGCGGCAUUCGCUGCGUGUGUCGAGUGGCGCCGCCGCCUGGUGCGAGCCCGCUGCCGGGCGCGCGUCUCGGUGGCGUGGUCUCUUCUCUUGCCGUGUGGAGCUGGUGCGGCGGCGGCCGCUGGUGCAGCGCCUCUGGCCGGCGUGUGUGGCGAUCUCUGCAGCUCGGCGCCGCGCUGACGGGGAGCCGACUGAUGCCGGCGUCACUGCCGGGGCUGGAAACGCCCCGUGGCCCGGACCGGACCGGCGCAGUGGCCGGACGGGGGACCUUCCGCCGGCCCGUGUGGGGUCCAGUUCUCGGUGUCGCGUUUUGGAUUCAAGAUUCGUGUUAUCCGGACCCAAUGUCUGUAUUUGUGUCAUGUGGUGGUGAUACACCGUAGAUCUAUCCAUGUA